RNAcentral lists this ribosomal RNA (499 nucleotides) under uncultured bacterium. RNAcentral's name for it is "partial 16S ribosomal RNA". It matches the Rfam family "Bacterial small subunit ribosomal RNA", at positions 28 to 507 of the family's 1533-position model. The record is from RNAcentral.
GACGAACGCUGGCGGCGUGCCUAAUACAUGCAAGUCGAGCGAAGUUUUUCCGGUGCUUGCACCGGAAAAACUUAGCGGCGCACGGGCGAGUAACACGUAAAGAACCUGCCUCAUAGACUGGGACAACUAUUGGAAACGAUAGCUAAUACCGGAUAAUAGCAUUAACUGCAUGGUUGAUGUUUAAAAGUUGGUUUUGCUAACACUAUGAGAUGGCUUUGCGGUGCAUUAGCUAGUUGGUGGGGUAAAGGCCUACCAAGGCGACGAUGCAUAGCCGACCUGAGAGGGUGAUCGGCCACACUGGGACUGAGACACGGCCCAGACUCCUACGGGAGGCAGCAGUAGGGAAUCUUCCGCAAUGGGCGAAAGCCUGACGGAGCAACGCCGCGUGAGUGAAGAAGGAUUUCGGUUCGUAAAGCUCUGUUGUUAGGGAAGAAUGAUUGUGUAGUAACUAUACACAGUAGAGACGGUACCUAACCAGAAAGCCACGGCUAACUACGUG